CUUUGAGAGUUCGUUAAACGGAUGCCAAAGUACUAUACUUUGUGAUUUCGGUAAACGGAAUCCAAAUUGUUACACUUUGUGAAAUUCAUUAAGGUUCGAAUCUCGUGACUACCGUUAAGGUUUGAUUUGGGUUUUACACAAAUACGUAUUCCAUUCUGUUAAACUAUAUGUUUAACUACCAAAAAUACUCCCAACUACACACUCACAAUCAAACAAACUAUUAAAUCAUCAGAAGAUCCAGAAUAAUAAAGUGCAUGCUUAAUUAUCGGAAGAAGUAGAAUCAAGAAGCUUGUUAACUCAAUCUUGCAUGCUUAUAUAUAGAUUGGAGUAAGAAUUGGAUCCGGCACUGAAGGACUUCAAGAAGUGGCUUAUUUUAUUAAUUA
RNAcentral lists this long non-coding RNA (383 nucleotides) under Helianthus annuus (common sunflower). Its description in RNAcentral is "hypothetical non coding rna". Lineage: Eukaryota; Viridiplantae; Streptophyta; Magnoliopsida; Asterales; Asteraceae. The record is from RNAcentral.